This is a long non-coding RNA of Macaca mulatta (Rhesus monkey), 3632 nucleotides long. The record is from Ensembl. NCBI's taxonomy places the organism in Eukaryota, Metazoa, Chordata, Mammalia, Primates, Cercopithecidae.
GGCCUCGGGCUCCUCAGGGCGCGCUCUGCACCGCGGGCUCCGGCUUGCACGUGUAACCUCGUAGGCUCGGACAGCCAGACACCGGGGUGUGUACCCGGCAGAGCGCACGGUGAGCGCUCAGAAAUAUGCAUCCUUCACCGUGCGGCUGACCAGCUCCCUUCCGGUAACAAGCCUCGGACUUCAGUUCCACGUAAACCCGGGCGCCGUGGCCAGCCUAGCUUUGUCCGACCCUGGCUUCAGCAGCAGAGGAAGCAAAUGAGGCCCUCUUCUUAUCCUGGGGACCCAGAUCAAGUCCAGGCAGCCCGAUCACCCCAGGCAGUCGCCGUCUGGAUGAGAAGGUGCAGCUCUCAAGCUUCUGAAGCUGUCAAGAAACAUCUUAAAGAAGGACCAACUUCUUCAACAGGCACAGACAAGACCUUUGGAUUUAGAGAGUGUUUGCCCCAAAUGGUUGUCUCAGACCUCCCGGGAGUCCUCUGACUCCUUUCAGAGGAGACCUCUGUGGCCCCUGAUGAGUCGGGGGCUGCGACAUUUCCUCAUGCAGGCCACCGGCCUGGGGCUCCUUCAUCCUUAGUCACACUCCUCACAUGUGCUCUUCGGUGCUUUUCUUAUUAUUUUUAUUGCACACGUUGGUACAAAUUGUGAUCUUAAUAAAAUAUAUAUAAUCCAAGUUGGGAAAGGGAACUGCCAUGUAGACCAUAAAGGGAAUUAAUUAUGCCAGGGAAUUAAGGUACAGACCAUUUUCUUCUGAAUAUUAAAAGAACGUAUUUUCAAAACUUCAGUCAGUUCUUUCUUCCGUGGUAGCUGAAAGUCAAUAGUGUCGUUAAGUUAGCUGCACUUUCAUAUUUAUUGAGAAACCGACCAAAAGGGCCAGCAUCUGUUGGGUUGCCCUGCUGGGUCGUUCUCCAGCCGGGCCUCCUGAGCUAACAUUUGGCAUCUGCAGGGGGCAUCUGGGCAGGUGUCCUAGACAGAGGCUGGUCGGGAACUGGCCAGAAGCCAGCCCUGCCGCGUGUUUACCCCUAGAGUUGCCUGUCACACACAGGGAUGUGCUUCGGAGACCUUUUAGCAGGACAGGCCUGGGCUUUGUCCUGACAAGUUUAUCACUGGUUUUUAAGCCUGAGCCAACAGAGGUGUUCAUUAUGGGGUUCAGUACAUUGUUUCUGAAGGGCGGUAAUUCUAAAUUAGAUAAAAGAAAACUGUUUUUCUAAUGCAUCGAUUAUUUUUAAAAAUAAAGCAAAAGUAUUUCACAUGGCAAAUGAUUCCUAAUCAAUGAUUAUGAGUGAUCUUACAUCUUUAGCUUUGUUGUUUGGAACUUUUGUCUUUGGUGGCUGGCCCCAUUCCAGAUGUGAGGGUGAUAUUUGUGCAGAGAGAAAGAGGAUGUGUCUGGUAUCUGACAGUUCUCACAGAGUUAACUGUAAAUUAAAUGAGGAUGUCUACCUGCAGAGGGGUGGGGCUUUUUUUUGAGACAGGGUCUAAAUCUGUCACUCAGGCUGGAGUGCAGUGAUAAAAUCACAGCUCACUGCAGCCUCCAACUCCUAGGCUCAAGUUUGCCUCAGCCUCCCGAGUAGCUUAGAGUACAGGCUGGCACCACCAUGCUUGGCUAAUUUUUAAAUUUUAUUUUGUAGAGAUGGGAUCUCACUUUGCUGCCCAGGAUGGUCUUGAACUCCUAGGCUCAAGCAAUCUUCCCUCUUCGGCCUCCCAAAGUGCUAGGAUUACAGGUGUAAGCCACCAUGCCUGGCCUGUACUUGAACCAUUAAGUAAAAUUGUUUUUGUCAGACUCUGAAUAAUACACACCCUCAUUUUCCCAUUGGAAAAAUCUCUCUCAAAACAUGCCAUUUAGGUGAGAUAUUCAAUCAGAGCCCCCCUCUAUCCUAGGGCACGCAAGCAAAGUAAACCAAUCAAUCCCUCCCCUUGAAUUUAAAUUCUUGCCGAAUGGGGCAAGUUGGGAUUAAUCGAGAAUGGAGCCAACCGUGAGCCCGUCACGAACCUCUUGUCAUCUCAAUCAACCUUGUUAUCUUAAUCACGUGAGUUUACCUGGAAAUAUCCUGAAGUCAGCUGGCUAAACUGUUCUUAAUUCUGUUAAGUAUUAAAUAUGUUUCCAACAAAGCCAGGCUUUCUCUAAUUAUCCAGCCAAUGAUCAAAGUGGUGUAAUAAUAGAGGAAACUUUAUUUUACAGAAGAGUGCAUAACAGCACUAUUACUUACCUUGCAUUGAGGCAGGAAGGACGCUUCAAGCAUGAAAAGAAGCAUGAAGUUUCUCAUCUUAGUGUUGAAAAGGGUCUUAUGUAGUUGAAGGUUUUGUCUUCCUACAGCCAGCAUUGAUUUAGGAUUCACAUUCAACUUACCUUCCAGUGCCUGCAGAAUGUGGUGUUAGGAUUUUUCCUUUUGCUUCUUUGUAGGUGAACUAUUUCUUCCAAGUGGAAUGCAUGAUCUUAGGCCAUGACUUUGUUUCUGUGCUCUCCGUUCUAUUUGAAAUGCCCGGAAGAGUGCAUGGGAGACACUCAAUGGAUAUAACUGAACAAAUGUGAGAAAAAAAAAAUGUUCUCUACUGUCUUUUCUAUUUGCAUUUGAAAAGCAAUUACAACAUUCUUGAUCAUUCUUAAUGUAGUGACCCAAAUUCUGCCCUUCGUGCCCCCAACAUUGUACUGAGAGCAACAAGAAAUAACCAGAUGAGUAAAGACCGUGUCAGAAGUUGGGGUCAGGGGAUGAGGAACCUGCCAGAGCUUUCCAGAUUUAUAAUCUCUUGGCUCCCAUGAGCUAAGAGAUGCAAUUUCCUCUCAGAUUUUCUAUAUAGCUCCUAAUUUUUUCAAGUAGGUCAGAAUUUUACCCUAGCAGAGAGUGGGGGAGAACUCUCGAUGUGUUCUCUACUCAUGAAAAUAAAACUGUGAGUUUCAGUACAAACACCUCUAUUAUACUGACGUGUAGGAGCCAUCUCUUUUCCAAUGCCAUAAUUUUAAUGCCAUGCAAAAAGCACAUUUUAAGAUGACGUAACUGGAAUGAAAAAACAACAAAAACAUGAAAUAAUAAAACCAUAAAAUAUAGCAGAACAAGAUCACGGGAAAGAAGCAAAAAUACACGGUCCUAUUGAGCUCCAGAUUCAUGUCGGAGCUCAGAGAAGCCCAGCAGAAGCGGUUCCUGGGAACGGAGAGUCAAGUGUGGCACAUGUGAGAGCAGCUGUCACUGCCAUGUGGCUCCCAAGACCAGGCUGGGCUAAGCCUUUACAGCUCUCUCUGGAGCCUUCUGCUCAGGCAGCCCCCUCUGGAGGGAAGCCUGGAGAGGAGAAGGAGGACAUGACUUGCUAAGUCCAGGAGGACAACCACAGUCCCUGCUGGCCAGUCCCUGCCCCUGCGAUCACCAGUGUUCCCAACGGGGCUGAGAACCAUCAGUGGAAGGGUGGGCUCUGGAGCUCACACCAUCCUGGGCGCUGGAGCAAUGGCAGAAUUGUGGGGAUGAAAGAGGCAAUGUGAGAAGGACAGUGAUGCCUCCUCUCAAAUUAAGCCUCGAGAUCAUAUUCGUGAAGAACUCUAAGCUAAGGACACAAAAUCAACGGGUUUAUGCUGGAGUCAUUCUAGAUGCAAUUAAAAUAGCAGAAUAAUAAAUACUCAAAAAGGCAAAUAAAUAGCAUCCACAUAAUUG